This 439-nucleotide ribosomal RNA is filed under the name uncultured bacterium. RNAcentral's name for it is "partial 16S ribosomal RNA". It matches the Rfam family "Bacterial small subunit ribosomal RNA", at positions 339 to 795 of the family's 1533-position model. The record is from RNAcentral.
CUACGGGCUGCUGCAGUGAGGAAUAUUGCACAAUGGAGGAAACUCUGAUGCAGCAACGCCGCGUGGAGGAUGACGCAUUUCGGUGUGUAAACUCCUUUUAUAUGUCAAGAAAAUGACGGUAGCAUAUGAAUAAGCACCGGCUAACUCCGUGCCAGCAGCCGCGGUAAUACGGAGGGUGCAAGCGUUACUCGGAAUCACUGGGCGUAAAGGACGCGUAGGCGGGUUGGAAAGUCAGGUGUGAAAUCCUACAGCUUAACUGUAGAACUGCACUUGAAACUUCUAAUCUAGAGUAUGGGAGGGGGAGAUGGAAUUAGUGGUGUAGGGGUAAAAUCCGUAGAUAUCACUAGGAAUACCUAAAGCGAAGGCGAUCUCCUGGAACAUUACUGACGCUAAGGCGUGAAAGCGUGGGGAGCAAACAGGAUUAGAUACCCUUGUAGUC